GACGAACGCUGGCGGCGUGCCUAAUACAUGCAAGUUGAGCGCUGAAGGUUGGUACUUGUACCGACUGGAUGAGCAGCGCACGGGUGAGUAACGCGUGGGGAAUCUGCCUUUGAGCGGGGGACAACAUUUGGAAACGAAUGCUAAUACCGCAUAAAAACUUUAAACACAAGUUUUAAGUUUGAAAGAUGCAAUUGCAUCACUCAAAGAUGAUCCCGCGUUGUAUUAGCUAGUUGGUGAGGUAAAGGCUCACCAAGGCGAUGAUACAUAGCCGACGUGAGAGGGUGAUCAGCCACAUUGGGACUGAGACACGGCCCAAACUCCUACGGGAGGCAGCAGUAGGGAAUCUUCGGCAAGGGACGAAAGUCUGACCGAGAAACGCCGAGUGAGUGAAGAAGGUUGUCGGAUCGUAAAACUCUGUUGGUAGAGAAGAACGUUGGUGAGAGUGGAAAGCUCAUCAAGUGACGGUAACUACCCAGAAAGCAACGGCUAACUACGUG
This 497-nucleotide ribosomal RNA is filed under the name uncultured bacterium. RNAcentral's name for it is "partial 16S ribosomal RNA". It matches the Rfam family "Bacterial small subunit ribosomal RNA", at positions 28 to 507 of the family's 1533-position model. The record is from RNAcentral.